RNAcentral lists this small RNA (125 nucleotides) under Marmota monax (woodchuck). The record is from RNAcentral. Lineage: Eukaryota; Metazoa; Chordata; Mammalia; Rodentia; Sciuridae.
GCCGGGCGCGAUGGCGCACACCUGUAAUCCCAGCAGCUUGGGAGGCUGAGGCAGGAGGAUCAUGAGUUCAAAGCCAGCCUCAGCAAGGGCGAGGCACUAAACAACUCAGGGAGACCUUGUCUCUA